UAAAAGUGGAAAAUAUUUCACAUCGUAUAACUACAGAUAAUGAAAAAAAAGAUAAUUGAAAGAAUGAAAACACAAUUUCGACAGAGAAAGGAGGUGCUAUCUGAGACACCAUUUUUUGAUGGUAAGACUAUCAAGGAUUGUUUCCUAGACAGUACCAUUGAUCGAUUAUUGGAAUGUUAUGUUCAAGCUAUAAAAUAUAAUGAAUAUAGCUUAGAUGUUAUAAAAAAAGCUAUAUAUACAAUCUUCUUCCAUAUAGUAUCAACGAAUGACAAGCUGCUUCAAAAUUUUUCUUUAAGCAACUGGUGUAAAUAUAAAAUAGUUGGAGCAGAACUUUAUCUACAAGACUUCUUUACCUGAGCUUGUUAUGUUGAUUGUAUGGCUACUUUACAAAAAUUUGGCAAAUUCAAAUGUAUUGAAGAAAUGUCUCGUAGAAAAAACAUAAUAUAAAUAAAUUAUUCAAUAACACUGUGUGAAUAAGUGUAUCAAAAAAUGUAUUUGUGGAGUCCUAUACAUUGAAACUUGAUUUAUAUGAUGUCAUUAUAUUUAUUGAUGGUAAUACAAGCAGAUUGAAAGAGCUAAGAGGUAAAAUAGCCAUACUGAAAGAAUUGAACAAGCAGGAAAUUAAUAAAGUACAGCUACAAGCUAAAAUAUUGUCUAAAAUGAUAAGAUUUUUGGAAAGAUGAAAGAGAAUUUAUUUGGAUAAUACAGAAGAAGAUGAACAUUAUAAUGGUGAAUGGUUUUAAUUGCUGUUUUUACUAAAACAUUGAUUUGGAGAAAUAGAAACAACGGAAGUGUAUUAAAAAAGAGUGAAUAAAAAGUGGUUUUUAAGGAUGUCAAGAAUGUUACACUCAUCAAGGAGUUUUAGUAUGGUGAAAGUAUAUUUAUAAUCAAACAAACAGGAUUUAUAGAAGAAUUAUUAAUCGAAAAAUUGUUGAGGACAAGUCCUGUUAUCAACCGAAUUUAUCUUUUGAUACAAUUAAAUAAAGAGAAGAAUGCUUCAACGUAAUAAGCUCAUUGGAAAUUCA
This is a long non-coding RNA of Vespula pensylvanica (western yellowjacket), 1025 nucleotides long. RefSeq lists it as uncharacterized. The record is from RefSeq and is a predicted model, not a curated record. The transcript is spliced from 2 exons. NCBI's taxonomy places the organism in Eukaryota, Metazoa, Arthropoda, Insecta, Hymenoptera, Vespidae.